AAUAUUAGACAAUGGGCGAAAGCCUGCUCCAGCCAUGCCGCGUGUGUGAAGAGGGCCUUCGGAUUGUAACGCACUUUAAGUUGGGAGGAUAGGUUGUAGGUUAAUAUCCUGCAAUGUUGCCGAUACCAACAGAACAAGCACCGGCUAACUACGUGCCAGCAUCCGCUGUAAUACGAAGGGGGCAAGCGUUAAUCGGAAUUACUGGGCGUAAGGAGCGCGUAGGUGGGUCGUUAAGUUGGAAGUGAAAGACCCGGGCGUAACCUGGGAAUUGCUUUCAAAACUGACGAGCGAGAGUACGGUAGAGGGUAGUGGAAUUUCCUGUGUAGCGGUGAAAUGCGUAGAUAUAGGAAGGAACAUCAGUGGCGAAGGCGACUACCUGGACUGAUACUGACACUGAGGUGCGAAAGCGUGGGGAGCAAACAGG
This 424-nucleotide ribosomal RNA is filed under the name uncultured bacterium. RNAcentral describes it as "partial 16S ribosomal RNA". It matches the Rfam family "Bacterial small subunit ribosomal RNA", at positions 360 to 776 of the family's 1533-position model. The record is from RNAcentral.